Molecule: ribosomal RNA, 471 nt
Filed under: uncultured bacterium
Lineage: Bacteria
Description: bacterial SSU rRNA
Rfam family: Bacterial small subunit ribosomal RNA
Source: RNAcentral
ACGAACGCUGGCGGCGUGCCUAACACAUGCAAGUCGAGCGAGGAGAUCCUCGGGAUGAUCCUAGCGGCGGACGGGUGAGUAACACGUGGGCAACCUGCCUCAUAGAGAGGAAUAGCCUUCCGAAAGGGAGAUUAAUACCUCAUAACAUUGCAGUUUCGCAUGGAACAGCAAUUAAAGGAGUAAUCCGCUAUGAGAUGGGCCCGCGGCGCAUUAGCUAGUUGGUGAGGUAAUGGCUCACCAAGGCGACGAUGCGUAGCCGACCUGAGAGGGUGAUCGGCCACAUUGGGACUGAGACACGGCCCAGACUCCUACGGGAGGCAGCAGUGGGGAAUAUUGCACAAUGGGGGAAACCCUGAUGCCAGCAACGCCGCGUGAGUGAUGACGGCCUUCGGGUUGUAAAGCUCUGUCUUCAGGGACGAUAAUGACGGUACCUGAGGAGGAAGCCACGGCUAACUACGUGCCAGCCGCCGC